Molecule: ribosomal RNA, 420 nt
Filed under: uncultured bacterium
Lineage: Bacteria
Description: bacterial SSU rRNA
Rfam family: Bacterial small subunit ribosomal RNA
Source: RNAcentral
AGAGGCUUCGGCAAUGGGGGCAACCCUGACCGAGCGACGCCGCGUGUGGGAUCGAAGGCGUUUUCGUUGUAAACCACUGUUCUAGGGGAAGAAUACCGCGAUGGUGAAUCGCGGGGCGACGGUACCCUAGAAGAAAGCCCCGGCUAACUCCGUCCCCGCCCCCGCGGUAAUACGGAGGGGGCGAGCGUUGUUCGGAUUUACUGGGCGUAAAGGGAGUGUAGGCGGCCGAUCAAGUCCGAUGUGAAAGCCUUACCGCUUACCGGAAGGAGGUCAUCGGAAACUGAUUGGCUAGAGUAAGGUAGAGGCGAGCGGAAUUCCUGGUGUAGCGGUGGAAUGUGUAGAUAUCAGGAAGAACAUCGGUGGCGAAGGCGGCUCGCUGGGCCUUUACUGACGCUGAGACUCGAAAGCGUGGGGAGCAAA